This 31-nucleotide non-coding RNA is filed under the name Homo sapiens (human). The record is from RNAcentral. Lineage: Eukaryota; Metazoa; Chordata; Mammalia; Primates; Hominidae.
UCCUUCCAGAGAGCGAUCUUCCAAGCCAAAA